GAUGAACGCUAGCGGCAGGCUUAACACAUGCAAGUCGAGGGGCAGCAUGACACGGAGAUUCGUCGAAGUGUUGAUGGCGACCGGCGCAAGGGUGCGUAACGCGUGAGCAACUUGCCCGUUUCUGGGGAAUAACCGGUGGAAACGCCGACUAAUACCCCAUAGUAUAACGAAGAGGCAUCUUUUUGUUAUUAAAGAACUUCGGAAACGGAUAGGCUCGCGUGACAUUAGCUAGAUGGCGGGGUAACGGCCCACCAUGGCGACGAUGUCUAGGGGUUCUGAGAGGAAGGUCCCCCACACUGGAACUGAGACACGGUCCAGACUCCUACGGGAGGCAGCAGUGAGGAAUAUUGGUCAAUGGGCGAGAGCCUGAACCAGCCAAGUAGCGUGAAGGAAGACUGCCCUAUGGGUUGUAAACUUCUUUUGUUCGGGAAUAAAGUGCAGUACGCGUACUGUUUUGUAUGUACCGUUCGAAUAAGCAUCGGCUAAUUCCGUGCCAGCAGCCGCGGU
Molecule: ribosomal RNA, 507 nt
Filed under: uncultured bacterium
Lineage: Bacteria
Description: bacterial SSU rRNA
Rfam family: Bacterial small subunit ribosomal RNA
Source: RNAcentral